GGGUAGGUACAAAGAGAACGCCAACUCGCGAGAGCGCGCCAAUCUCAAAAAGCCAUCCUCAGUUCGGAUUGGAGUCUGCAACUCGACUCCAUGAAGUUGGAAUCGCUAGUAAUCGCGGAUCAGCAUGCCGCGGUGAAUACGUUCCCGGGCCUU
Molecule: ribosomal RNA, 153 nt
Filed under: uncultured Smithella sp.
Lineage: Bacteria; Pseudomonadati; Thermodesulfobacteriota; Syntrophia; Syntrophales; Smithellaceae
Description: partial 16S ribosomal RNA
Rfam family: Bacterial small subunit ribosomal RNA
Source: RNAcentral